Molecule: small nuclear RNA, 101 nt
Organism: Raphanus sativus (radish)
Lineage: Eukaryota; Viridiplantae; Streptophyta; Magnoliopsida; Brassicales; Brassicaceae
Source: RefSeq, a predicted model, not a curated record
GUCUCUUCGGGAUAUCCAAUAAAAUUAUAAUGUUACAUAGAAAAUUAGCAUAGCUGUUGUACAAAAAAUGACACAUAAAUUGAGAAAUAGUUCGAAUUUUU